This 253-nucleotide ribosomal RNA is filed under the name uncultured bacterium. RNAcentral's name for it is "partial 16S ribosomal RNA". It matches the Rfam family "Bacterial small subunit ribosomal RNA", at positions 524 to 776 of the family's 1533-position model. The record is from RNAcentral.
UACGAAGGGGGCUAGCGUUGCUCGGAAUUACUGGGCGUAAAGGGCGCGUAGGCGGACAGUUAAGUCAGAGGUGAAAGCCCAGGGCUCAACCCUGGAAUUGCCUUUGAUACUGGCUGUCUUGAGUAUGGGAGAGGUGAGUGGAACUCCGAGUGUAGAGGUGAAAUUCGUAGAUAUUGGGAAGAACACCGGUGGCGAAGGCGGCUCACUGGCUCGUAACUGACGCUCAUGCACGACAGCGUGGGGAUCAAACAGG